GCCCUCGUAGCUCAGAUGGAUAGAGCGGCCGCCUCCUAAGCGGCAGGUCAGAGGUUCGAAUCCUCUCGGGGGCACCA
Molecule: transfer RNA, 77 nt
Filed under: Myxococcales bacterium
Lineage: Bacteria; Pseudomonadati; Myxococcota; Myxococcia; Myxococcales
Description: tRNA-Arg
Rfam family: tRNA
About the family: Transfer RNA (tRNA) molecules are approximately 80 nucleotides in length. Their secondary structure includes four short double-helical elements and three loops (D, anti-codon, and T loops). Further hydrogen bonds mediate the characteristic L-shaped molecular structure. tRNAs have two regions of fundamental functional importance: the anti-codon, which is responsible for specific mRNA codon recognition, and the 3' end, to which the tRNAs corresponding amino acid is attached (by aminoacyl-tRNA synthetases). tRNAs cope with the degeneracy of the genetic code in two manners: having more than one tRNA (with a specific anti-codon) for a particular amino acid; and 'wobble' base-pairing, i.e. permitting non-standard base-pairing at the 3rd anti-codon position.
Source: RNAcentral